GCUGGACCUCCUGGCCCAGCUGGACCGGACCGGGAUCCUCCAGAACAGGGUCAGAUGGGAACGCUGGAGAGAAACCAGUAAGAGGAAUUCAACAUCCAGCUGCUCGUUUAUUUAAACUAAACCGGACCCCACAGCGGUUGUGCUUUAAAAGCCAACAGUAGGAGAUGUUAACGGCCUGCGUCAGGAAACGCUGCUGUUCUCUCUGGGAGCAAAUCAACAAUGUAAAACUUUCCGACCUUCGACCUUCAGCCUGAACGCGUCCCAGCAGGCUGAGCUGCAGCAGCGUGUCAGAAUGAAACUCACUCCUGCAGAUUGAUGCUGGAAUUAUUUCCUCUCAGCUUUUUACAGUUUGUGCCAGAGAAAAAAAGAAAGUAAUUUCUGAUUUAUGA
This is a long non-coding RNA of Xiphophorus couchianus (Monterrey platyfish), 389 nucleotides long. RefSeq lists it as uncharacterized. The record is from RefSeq and is a predicted model, not a curated record. Lineage: Eukaryota; Metazoa; Chordata; Actinopteri; Cyprinodontiformes; Poeciliidae. The transcript is spliced from 2 exons.